GAGUGUGUAGCUCAGUGGUUAAUAACUAAAGAGCGUUUGACUGCAGAUCAAAUAUGAUUUAAUGGUCAGGAGUUCGAUAUUUAAAUAAUACUCUUCACACUCU
This 103-nucleotide transfer RNA is filed under the name Cryptomonas curvata. RNAcentral's name for it is "tRNA-Cys". The record is from RNAcentral. Lineage: Eukaryota; Cryptophyceae; Cryptomonadales; Cryptomonadaceae.